GUGUUGCCGAAGCUAGCACGCUUUCUAAAAUUGGAACGAUACAGCGAAGAUUAGCAUGGCUCCUGUGCAAGGAUGACACCCAAACGGUGGUGGACACAUGGAACAGCCUU
RNAcentral lists this small nuclear RNA (110 nucleotides) under Leptobrachium leishanense (Leishan spiny toad). The record is from RNAcentral. Lineage: Eukaryota; Metazoa; Chordata; Amphibia; Anura; Megophryidae.